This 919-nucleotide long non-coding RNA is filed under the name Phoenix dactylifera (date palm). RNAcentral's name for it is "long non-coding RNA (PDAC_LNC013919)". The record is from RNAcentral. Lineage: Eukaryota; Viridiplantae; Streptophyta; Magnoliopsida; Arecales; Arecaceae.
UAUUAUUCUUGAAGGACUAUUGAACGAUAAAUCCACCAUCACUGGGUUGCACAUGCCCAACAAUGCAGCAAGGUACCAUUCCAGAUAUUCCCAAACUCAUUCCAGAUGGAUCCAUUCGAUAUGUUGUUGUCCAAAAAAAAAUGUUCUAGCACCUGAGGCUCCCGAUACUGUGGAGUCUACGAAAGAUCAGAUGUAUGUGUAAUAACCCAGAAAAAAAAAAUGGGGCUCGAGGGCCGGCCCGGAGUGGCCAGGCCCAGCCCGAUUCCCUGGCCAGCCCGACGAAGAGGGGGAGAAGAAGACUCCGAUGGGAGUCUUCUUUCUCCUCCGAUCCCGGCGGAGUCGGAGAAUCCCCAGGGCAGUCCGAGUUCGGAUCGAACUCGAAAAUCUUACCUCUUUAAAUCUCCUCCCUCUCCUCUGAUUUCCGCCGGAUCGUCGCCGGACUGAGGUGAGUGUCCCCUGCCUUCCUCUCCUUCUUUUCUAUGUUUAUAAGCCGUCCUUUCUUUGGUUUGAGCCGGCUGGUCGCCGGAAUUCCUCCUGAAACAGGGGUGCCCUGUUUCAGCAUCUCUUCUCCCGUGCUCGCCGUCGUCGGCCGCCGGACUUGGACCAAGCUUUGUCGCCCUAGGGACCCCUGAGAUCAUGUGCUGGUGGGUUGGAGAAAACAGCCACUGUCUUGGCCGAGAUGGGAGGAUCUCUUCUUCCUCUUUUGCUUGCUUUUGCCGGCCACCGCCGCCGACAAGGAUCGUCGCUGUAGGGCCGCCGCCGCCGCCGGGUGGAGGGGCUACGGUGGUCGCUGUUCAUGGAGUCCUCUUAGAAUGGUUGAGAGGGAGGGGGAGAGGGAUGUGUCUCCCCUGUUUUGGAAAGAUGAGAAGUGGAGGAGAGAGAGUUCUUCUCUCUUCUCUCUCUCUCUCCCCUCUUCCUU